Molecule: small nucleolar RNA, 81 nt
Organism: Melanotaenia boesemani (Boeseman's rainbowfish)
Lineage: Eukaryota; Metazoa; Chordata; Actinopteri; Atheriniformes; Melanotaeniidae
Product: small nucleolar RNA SNORD121A
Exons: 1
Source: RefSeq, a predicted model, not a curated record
GCUGAAGAGAUGGUGAUGUUGAUUUACAAGCACAUAUCUUAAACAAAUAUGUGGAAAACCAAAUUUCUGAAUCUUUUCUGA